This 314-nucleotide unclassified non-coding RNA is filed under the name uncultured Fusarium. Its description in RNAcentral is "partial contains 5.8S ribosomal RNA, internal transcribed spacer 2, and large subunit ribosomal RNA". The stretch from base 1 to 102 matches the Rfam family "5.8S ribosomal RNA", at positions 53 to 154 of the family's 154-position model. The record is from RNAcentral. Lineage: Eukaryota; Fungi; Ascomycota; Sordariomycetes; Hypocreales; Nectriaceae.
AUGCGAUAAGUAAUGUGAAUUGCAGAAUUCAGUGAAUCAUCGAAUCUUUGAACGCACAUUGCGCCCGCCAGUAUUCUGGCGGGCAUGCCUGUUCGAGCGUCAUUACAACCCUCAGGCCCCCGGGCCUGGCGUUGGGGAUCGGCAGAAGCCCCCUGUGGGCACACGCCGUCCCUCAAAUACAGUGGCGGUCCCGCCGCAGCUUCCAUUGCGUAGUAGCUAACACCUCGCAACUGGAGAGCGGCGCGGCCAUGCCGUAAAACACCCAACUUCUGAAUGUUGACCUCGAAUCAGGUAGGAAUACCCGCUGAACUUAA